CCUUUAGGAGGGGGAUAACGAAUGGAAACAUUCGCUAAAACCCCAUAUGCCCCUGUGGUGAAAAAGAGGAGAUAAGUUAAACUGAAUCACCUCUGCCUGAAGAGAAGCUCGCGGCUGAUUAGCUAGUUGGUAGGGUAAUGGCCUACCAAGGCGACGAUCAGUAGCUGGUCUGAGAGGACGAUCAGCCACACUGGAACUGAGACACGGUCCAGACUCCUACGGGAGGCAGCAGUGAGGAAUUUUCUGCAAUGGGCGAAAGCCUGACAGAGCAAUACCGCGUGAGGGAUGAAGACUUACUGAGUUGUAAACCUCGGUGCCUUAAGGAAGAAGAUCUGACGGUACUUAAGGUGGAAAGCAUCGGCUAACUCCGUGCCAGCAGCCGCGGUAAGACGGGGGAUGCAAGUGUUAUCCGGAAUUACUGGGCGUAAAGCGUCUGCAGGUGGUUUCUUAAGUCUACUGUUAAAUCUUGAGGCUCAACCUCAAAUCUGCAGUAGAAACUAGGAGACUUGAGUAUAGUAGGGGUAGAGGGAAUUUCCAGUGGAGCGGUGAAAUGCGUAGAUAUUGGAAAGAACACCGAUGGCGAAGGCACUCUACUGGGCUAUUACUGACACUCAGAGACGAAAGCUAGGGGAGCAAAUGGGAUUAGAUAC
RNAcentral lists this ribosomal RNA (650 nucleotides) under uncultured bacterium. RNAcentral describes it as "bacterial SSU rRNA". It matches the Rfam family "Bacterial small subunit ribosomal RNA", at positions 129 to 785 of the family's 1533-position model. The record is from RNAcentral.